AAAACGACCAGAAUAUCAAAAAAGGCAACACAAAGUAAUUUUGCUUCAAGAUAAUGCACCAUCGCAUACAGCAAAACCGGUCAAGGAAACGAUCGAAGCGUUCAGUUGGGAAAUACUUUCGCACGCGGCUUACUCACCAGAUUUGGCUCCGUCCGAUUACUAUUUAUUUGCAUCGAUGGGACACGCACUUUCUGACCAGCGCUUCACUUCUUACGAAAAUGUACGAAAAUGCCUCGAUGACUGGUUUGCCUCAAAAGAGCGACAGUUUUCUUGGCGUGGCAUCCACCAAUUGCCAGACAGGUGGGAAAAAUGUAUAGCUAGCGAUGGACAAUACUUCGAAUAAAGUAUUUUUAAUCAUUUUCAUAAACGUGUAUUUUCUAUACAAAAAUUCCGGUUUCAUAUUUACAUACCUG
This 413-nucleotide unclassified non-coding RNA is filed under the name Bombus terrestris (buff-tailed bumblebee). RNAcentral's name for it is "misc RNA ENSBTSG00005035580.1". Lineage: Eukaryota; Metazoa; Arthropoda; Insecta; Hymenoptera; Apidae. The record is from RNAcentral.